Molecule: ribosomal RNA, 2923 nt
Filed under: Staphylococcus aureus
Lineage: Bacteria; Bacillati; Bacillota; Bacilli; Caryophanales; Staphylococcaceae
Description: 23S ribosomal RNA
Rfam family: Bacterial large subunit ribosomal RNA
Source: RNAcentral
GAUUAAGUUAUUAAGGGCGCACGGUGGAUGCCUUGGCACUAGAAGCCGAUGAAGGACGUUACUAACGACGAUAUGCUUUGGGGAGCUGUAAGUAAGCUUUGAUCCAGAGAUUUCCGAAUGGGGAAACCCAGCAUGAGUUAUGUCAUGUUAUCGAUAUGUGAAUACAUAGCAUAUCAGAAGGCACACCCGGAGAACUGAAACAUCUUAGUACCCGGAGGAAGAGAAAGAAAAUUCGAUUCCCUUAGUAGCGGCGAGCGAAACGGGAAGAGCCCAAACCAACAAGCUUGCUUGUUGGGGUUGUAGGACACUCUAUACGGAGUUACAAAGGACGACAUUAGACGAAUCAUCUGGAAAGAUGAAUCAAAGAAGGUAAUAAUCCUGUAGUCGAAAAUGUUGUCUCUCUUGAGUGGAUCCUGAGUACGACGGAGCACGUGAAAUUCCGUCGGAAUCUGGGAGGACCAUCUCCUAAGGCUAAAUACUCUCUAGUGACCGAUAGUGAACCAGUACCGUGAGGGAAAGGUGAAAAGCACCCCGGAAGGGGAGUGAAAUAGAACCUGAAACCGUGUGCUUACAAGUAGUCAGAGCCCGUUAAUGGGUGAUGGCGUGCCUUUUGUAGAAUGAACCGGCGAGUUACGAUUUGAUGCAAGGUUAAGCAGUAAAUGUGGAGCCGUAGCGAAAGCGAGUCUGAAUAGGGCGUUUAGUAUUUGGUCGUAGACCCGAAACCAGGUGAUCUACCCUUGGUCAGGUUGAAGUUCAGGUAACACUGAAUGGAGGACCGAACCGACUUACGUUGAAAAGUGAGCGGAUGAACUGAGGGUAGCGGAGAAAUUCCAAUCGAACCUGGAGAUAGCUGGUUCUCUCCGAAAUAGCUUUAGGGCUAGCCUCAAGUGAUGAUUAUUGGAGGUAGAGCACUGUUUGGACGAGGGGCCCCUCUCGGGUUACCGAAUUCAGACAAACUCCGAAUGCCAAUUAAUUUAACUUGGGAGUCAGAACAUGGGUGAUAAGGUCCAUGUUCGAAAGGGAAACAGCCCAGACCACCAGCUAAGGUCCCAAAAUAUAUGUUAAGUGGAAAAGGAUGUGGCGUUGCCCAGACAACUAGGAUGUUGGCUUAGAAGCAGCCAUCAUUUAAAGAGUGCGUAAUAGCUCACUAGUCGAGUGACACUGCGCCGAAAAUGUACCGGGGCUAAACAUAUUACCGAAGCUGUGGAUUGUCCUUUGGACAAUGGUAGGAGAGCGUUCUAAGGGCGUUGAAGCAUGAUCGUAAGGACAUGUGGAGCGCUUAGAAGUGAGAAUGCCGGUGUGAGUAGCGAAAGACGGGUGAGAAUCCCGUCCACCGAUUGACUAAGGUUUCCAGAGGAAGGCUCGUCCGCUCUGGGUUAGUCGGGUCCUAAGCUGAGGCCGACAGGCGUAGGCGAUGGAUAACAGGUUGAUAUUCCUGUACCACCUAUAAUCGUUUUAAUCGAUGGGGGGACGCAGUAGGAUAGGCGAAGCGUGCGAUUGGAUUGCACGUCUAAGCAGUAAGGCUGAGUAUUAGGCAAAUCCGGUACUCGUUAAGGCUGAGCUGUGAUGGGGAGAAGACAUUGAGUCUUCGAGUCGUUGAUUUCACACUGCCGAGAAAAGCCUCUAGAUAGAAAAUAGGUGCCCGUACCGCAAACCGACACAGGUAGUCAAGAUGAGAAUUCUAAGGUGAGCGAGCGAACUCUCGUUAAGGAACUCGGCAAAAUGACCCCGUAACUUCGGGAGAAGGGGUGCUCUUUAGGGUUAACGCCCAGAAGAGCCGCAGUGAAUAGGCCCAAGCGACUGUUUAUCAAAAACACAGGUCUCUGCUAAACCGUAAGGUGAUGUAUAGGGGCUGACGCCUGCCCGGUGCUGGAAGGUUAAGAGGAGUGGUUAGCUUCUGCGAAGCUACGAAUCGAAGCCCCAGUAAACGGCGGCCGUAACUAUAACGGUCCUAAGGUAGCGAAAUUCCUUGUCGGGUAAGUUCCGACCCGCACGAAAGGCGUAACGAUUUGGGCACUGUCUCAACGAGAGACUCGGUGAAAUCAUAGUACCUGUGAAGAUGCAGGUUACCCGCGACAGGACGGAAAGACCCCGUGGAGCUUUACUGUAGCCUGAUAUUGAAAUUCGGCACAGCUUGUACAGGAUAGGUAGGAGCCUUUGAAACGUGAGCGCUAGCUUACGUGGAGGCGCUGGUGGGAUACUACCCUAGCUGUGUUGGCUUUCUAACCCGCACCACUUAUCGUGGUGGGAGACAGUGUCAGGCGGGCAGUUUGACUGGGGCGGUCGCCUCCUAAAAGGUAACGGAGGCGCUCAAAGGUUCCCUCAGAAUGGUUGGAAAUCAUUCAUAGAGUGUAAAGGCAUAAGGGAGCUUGACUGCGAGACCUACAAGUCGAGCAGGGUCGAAAGACGGACUUAGUGAUCCGGUGGUUCCGCAUGGAAGGGCCAUCGCUCAACGGAUAAAAGCUACCCCGGGGAUAACAGGCUUAUCUCCCCCAAGAGUUCACAUCGACGGGGAGGUUUGGCACCUCGAUGUCGGCUCAUCGCAUCCUGGGGCUGUAGUCGGUCCCAAGGGUUGGGCUGUUCGCCCAUUAAAGCGGUACGCGAGCUGGGUUCAGAACGUCGUGAGACAGUUCGGUCCCUAUCCGUCGUGGGCGUAGGAAAUUUGAGAGGAGCUGUCCUUAGUACGAGAGGACCGGGAUGGACAUACCUCUGGUGUACCAGUUGUCGUGCCAACGGCAUAGCUGGGUAGCUAUGUGUGGACGGGAUAAGUGCUGAAAGCAUCUAAGCAUGAAGCCCCCCUCAAGAUGAGAUUUCCCAACUUCGGUUAUAAGAUCCCUCAAAGAUGAUGAGGUUAAUAGGUUCGAGGUGGAAGCAUGGUGACAUGUGGAGCUGACGAAUACUAAUCGAUCGAAGACUUAAUCAA